UGCCAGCAGCCGCGGUAACACGAACCGGACAAACGUUAUUCGGAAUUACUGGGCUUAAAGAGUACGUAGGCGGCUUUGCAAGUUGGGUGUGAAAUCCCUCGGCUCAACCGAGGAACUGCGCUCAAAACUGCUUGGCUAGAGGGAGACAGGGGUAAGCGGAACUGAUGGUGGAGCGGUGAAAUGCGUUGAUAUCGGAAGGAACACCGGUGGCGAAGGCGACUUCCUGGGCCAAUACUGACGCUGAGGCGCGAAAGCGUGGGCAGCAAACAGGAUUAGAUA
Molecule: ribosomal RNA, 279 nt
Filed under: uncultured bacterium
Lineage: Bacteria
Description: partial 16S ribosomal RNA
Rfam family: Bacterial small subunit ribosomal RNA
Source: RNAcentral